This 566-nucleotide long non-coding RNA is filed under the name Daucus carota (carrot). RNAcentral's name for it is "long non-coding RNA (DCAR_LNC000354)". The record is from RNAcentral. Lineage: Eukaryota; Viridiplantae; Streptophyta; Magnoliopsida; Apiales; Apiaceae.
CUAGGACUACGACUGGGGAGUCGCCAUUUGUGUUGACCUACGGAUGUGAAGCCAUGGUUCCAAUAGAGGUUGGAGCUGGAUCGUUCAGGCGAGAUUACUUUGAAAAGCGAGACAACGACGUCAACCAAAGACUUUACUUGGAUAUGAUCGAAGAAAUCCGAGCUACCUCGCAGAUACGACUAGCUGCAUACCAGCAGAGAACAGCGAGGUAUUACAACAGCAAAGUAAAGGCUCACCCAUUCCAAGUAGGGGAAAGUGAACAAAAUCAUUAAACACACCUUGAAGACAAAGCUGGAGGAUAGCAAGAGAAACUGGCCAGAGGAACUCCUCAUGGUGCUAUGGUCUUACAACACAACUCCUAGGACUACGACUGGGGAGUCGCCAUUUGUGUUGACCUACGGAUGUGAAGCCAUGGUUCCAAUAGAGGUUGGAGCUGGGUCGUUCAGGCGAGAUUACUUUGAAAAGCGAGACAACGACGUCAACCAAAGACUUUACUUGGAUAUGAUCGAAGAAAUCCGAGCUACCUCGCAGAUACGACUAGCUGCAUACCAGCAGAGAACAGCGAG